Molecule: long non-coding RNA, 327 nt
Organism: Bufo gargarizans (Asiatic toad)
Lineage: Eukaryota; Metazoa; Chordata; Amphibia; Anura; Bufonidae
Exons: 3
Source: RefSeq, a predicted model, not a curated record
AGAACAUAUAACUUACAAGGUUCCGUCAUGUACAAGCGAUGGACUGAAGAUAAGAAAUUCAUGGCAAAGACACGUUAAGGCUUCCUACACUCUGGGAGAUGUUUGAGGAAUCUUCAAAAGAAGAUUAUAAAGUUCAAAAUUCAUCCAUCUCGCAGUAGCAAAUAAAAUAUUGUUUUGAAUCAGUGGAGAAUUUCAGUCUGUCUCCAGUUCAAGAAGGAUGAGGAAAGUUUUUGGAAAAUAAACUUUUCUUUCUUUAUUAUUUAUUUGACUAUUGUUGGUCUACACCAAACUGUUAAUGUCCCUAAUAAAGUUGUUUUUGGUGGAGUA